AUUGAACGCUGGCGGCAUGCUUUACACAUGCAAGUCGAACGGCAGCGCGGGGGCAACCCUGGCGGCGAGUGGCGAACGGGUGAGUAAUAUAUCGGAACGUACCCAGAAGUGGGGGAUAACGUAGCGAAAGUUACGCUAAUACCGCAUACGAUCUACGGAUGAAAGCGGGGGAUCGCAAGACCUCGCGCGAAUGGAGCGGCCGAUGGCAGAUUAGGUAGUUGGUGGGGUAAAGGCUCACCAAGCCGACGAUCUGUAGCUGGUCUGAGAGGACGACCAGCCACACUGGGACUGAGACACGGCCCAGACUCCUACGGGAGGCAGCAGUGGGGAAUAUUGGACAAUGGGCGAAAGCCUGAUCCAGCAAUGCCGCGUGAGUGAUGAGGGCCUUAGGGUUGUAAAGCUCUUUUACUGGGGAUGAUAAUGACAGUACCCAGAGAAUAAGCUCCGGCUAAAUCCGUGCCAGCAGCCGCGGUAAU
This 476-nucleotide ribosomal RNA is filed under the name uncultured bacterium. Its description in RNAcentral is "bacterial SSU rRNA". It matches the Rfam family "Bacterial small subunit ribosomal RNA", at positions 29 to 524 of the family's 1533-position model. The record is from RNAcentral.